AGGAUGAACGCUGGCGGAGUGCCUAACACAUGCAAGUCGAGCGGCAGCGGAAGUAGUUUACUACUUGCCGGCGAGCGGCGGACGGCUGAGUAACGCGUGGGAACGUGCCCCAAAGUGAGGAAUAACUGCCCGAAAGGGUAGCUAAUGCCGCAUAUGAUCUUCGGAUUAAAGGAUUUAUCCGCUUUGGGAGCGGCCCGCGUUAGAUUAGGUAGUUGGUGAGGUAAAGGCUCACCAAGCCGACGAUCUAUAGCUGGUCUGAGAGGAUGACCAGCCAGACUGGAACUGAGACACGGUCCAGACUCCUACGGGAGGCAGCAGUGAGGAAUCUUCCACAAUGGGGGAAACCCUGAUGGAGCAACUCCGCGUGCAGGAUGAAGGCCUUCGGGUCGUAAACUGCUUUUAUUGUGAAGAUAUGACGGUAACAAAUGAAUAAGGGUCGGACUAACUACGCGCCAGCAGCCGC
This 463-nucleotide ribosomal RNA is filed under the name uncultured bacterium. Its description in RNAcentral is "SSU rRNA". It matches the Rfam family "Bacterial small subunit ribosomal RNA", at positions 26 to 518 of the family's 1533-position model. The record is from RNAcentral.